Molecule: ribosomal RNA, 89 nt
Filed under: uncultured bacterium
Lineage: Bacteria
Description: partial 16S ribosomal RNA
Source: RNAcentral
CCCGUCACACCAUGGGAGUCAGUUGCUCUAGAAGUCGGUGCGCCAACCUCGUGAGGCAGCCGCCUAAAGAGUGACUGGUGACUGUGGUG